Molecule: ribosomal RNA, 225 nt
Filed under: uncultured bacterium
Lineage: Bacteria
Description: partial 16S ribosomal RNA
Rfam family: Bacterial small subunit ribosomal RNA
Source: RNAcentral
AGUAACGCGUGGGUAACCUGCCUCAUACAGGGGGAUAACAGUUAGAAAUGACUGCUAAUACCGCAUAGGCGCACAGUGCUGCAUGGCACAGUGUGAAAAACUCCGGUGGUAUGAGAUGGACCCGCGUCUGAUUAGCUAGUUGGUGGGGUAACGGCCUACCAAGGCGACGAUCAGUAGCCGGCCUGAGAGGGUGAACGGCCACAUUGGGACUGAGACACGGCCCAA